UGAGAUUUUCUCUGUGACUCUGCCAGGA
Molecule: non-coding RNA, 28 nt
Filed under: Mus musculus (house mouse)
Lineage: Eukaryota; Metazoa; Chordata; Mammalia; Rodentia; Muridae
Source: RNAcentral